RNAcentral lists this ribosomal RNA (497 nucleotides) under uncultured bacterium. RNAcentral's name for it is "partial 16S ribosomal RNA". It matches the Rfam family "Bacterial small subunit ribosomal RNA", at positions 28 to 507 of the family's 1533-position model. The record is from RNAcentral.
GAUGAACGCUGGCGGCGUGCCUAAUACAUGCAAGUCGAGCGAACGGACGAGAAGCUUGCUUCUCUGAUGUUAGCGGCGGACGGGUGAGUAACACGUGGAUAACCUACCUAUAAGACUGGGAUAACUUCGGGAAACCGGAGCUAAUACCGGAUAAUAUUUUGAACCGCAUGGUUCAAAAGUGAAAGACGGUCUUGCUGUCACUUAUAGAUGGAUCCGCGCUGCAUUAGCUAGUUGGUAAGGUAACGGCUUACCAAGGCAACGACGCAUAGCCGACCGGAGAGGGUGAUCGGCCACACUGGAACUGAGACACGGUCCAGACUCCUACGGGAGGCAGCAGUAGGGAAUCUUCCGCAAUGGGCGAAAGCCUGACGGAGCAACGCCGCGUGAGUGAUGAAGGUCUUCGGAUCGUAAAACUCUGUUAUUAGGGAAGAACAUAUGUGUAAGUAACUGUGCACAUCUUGACGGUACCUAAUCAGAAAGCCACGGCUAACUACGUG